ACUUAUGUCUGUCUAAUACAAAAAUUUUCGCUGGCAAUUCUACUAUAUUAUACGUUUAUAAUAUAUACUUGUAUAUAUCAGUAUCAGACGUUCUUCAAACUGUGUAUGUAGUAUUUCUGCUAUACAUGUAUAUAAAUAUAACUUUACAAUCGUGAAAGAGGACUAUUUAUUGCACAUGGAAUAGCAUAAGAUAAAUAUAUCUUAUAUAGGAUGAAUUAGAAUUAAUCGGAUACCUGAAUAUCUCGGUUGAAUUUAAAAUUACAAAGAAUGCCUACAUCAGAAUCAAAAUGGUUUUGAAAGACCACUUGAAAGAAAGAAUCAUCAGGGCUUAUGUGUCGGUUCCAUCUGAAAUGAAUUAUAGAGUAUUAGAUUCUUAUUCUUUGAAAUUAAAUAAAUGUAUUGCAGCUCAAGGGAAUAAUUUUGAACAUUUAGCAUAACAUAAAUAAAGUAAAUAAACCUUACAUGAUAAAUUUUAUGUAUUCCAUAUUUUUGGGUUAAAGAUCGUUUGAAGAUCAUAUUGUGGUACACUGUUGAACUCGCUAAGUAUGGCUACAAAAUGUAUAGGAAAAAAAUAUUCAAUUCCAUUUAAAAAAAAGUUGGUGAUCUAAAAAACAUAAUAUUAUAACGACCAUGUACGUCCUUCAAAACCAUUUUGAUUUUGAUGUAGACAUAUUUUGUAAUUUUAAAUUCAACAGAGAUAUUUAGGUAUUCGAUUAAUUUUGACUCGCCCUGUAUAUAUGAAAAAUUACACAAAUUUUUAAUCUUUUAUGUCAUUAGGCUAUUAUUUUUUUCAUUGUAUCAACAAUUACCGUCUUGAGAAUGUUCCAAUAACUUGUUAGUAAUCUAAAAAAAGAGAAUUUUGUUUCGUUUUUUUUGUUUUACUUACUGUAUUAAUGUUACCUACAUAUGUUUGAAGCCGACUGUACAAUGUCCAAAACAUUUACAACAUUAUUUGAUCAAAUAAUAUAUAUAAUAUGCAAUAUAAGGCAGUGGGUGACAUAUUGUAUAUGCUUGAAAAAAUAAAAAUCGUUAUUCCUAUA
Molecule: long non-coding RNA, 1040 nt
Filed under: Polistes fuscatus (common paper wasp)
Lineage: Eukaryota; Metazoa; Arthropoda; Insecta; Hymenoptera; Vespidae
Description: uncharacterized LOC122514170
Source: RNAcentral